This is a long non-coding RNA of Cebus imitator (Panamanian white-faced capuchin), 4577 nucleotides long. RefSeq lists it as uncharacterized. The record is from RefSeq and is a predicted model, not a curated record. The transcript is spliced from 4 exons. NCBI's taxonomy places the organism in Eukaryota, Metazoa, Chordata, Mammalia, Primates, Cebidae.
ACUCCUGACCUUAGGUGAUCCGCCUGCCUCGGCCUCCCAAAGUGCUGGGAUUACAGGCUUGAGCCACUGAGCCUGGCCUAACAUACAUAUGAACAGGUUCUGACAAAAGAACAGUUCCUUCCUUGAUGUGGAUCAUGAAGUAGCAAUUAUUCUGUCUGUAUUCCCAAUGCAAACUAAGGAUAUGCAAAUAGAUGACCAUUUCUGGGUUAUCUCAAUGUCAUCAACUUGGUUAUUACAGUUGCUGCCUUGGCAUCCAUGGUCAGGCCUAACAAUGGCCUGACAUAAACUGUUUGAAAUCCGGUUGUACCCUGUCACCUUUGGCCUGGUUAAAACUUCCUCUUCCCAUGUUACUGUUUGCAAUAUAGCCCACUUGUUCCUCAUCCCACUGACCCCAGACCCAACACACCCCACAGCUGCUGACCGUGAUAAAACCCAAUGGCCAACACCAGAGUCGUGUAGGUAAGUUCCCCCUUCCCACACGUGUUUUCCUUACACUAGCAAUUUCACAACCUCCUGUGAAAAGCCUAAGUGAGAAAACUCCUGGAGCCGCUAGACCCUGAGAAAGGCGUGCUCCUACUGGUCAGCUGUCUCUUUCUGGGGUCAUGCAUUUUGGUUUCCUGUUAUCCUUGUGUCUCACUGGACUGGCACACCUGAACCUUACUAGGUAAGACAUAAGGAAAAUGGGAAAUUGAAAUGCAAGGUCCUGGGGGACUAGGAGUGUUAUCACUACAACAUGCUCUCCUAGAGAGUGGCUGUCUUGGCAGGAAUAAACUGGACACAGAUCAGACAAGAACCACAAAGCGUCUCUGCCAGAUUUCCUGUGAGAGAGACAGCUGGCUAUGGUUCAGACCCAGGCAUCAGGCUGUCAAUCAGGAUAAAGAAGCAUCAUGUGAAAGACACACUGUCAACACCUGUGAAUACCUCCUCUGGGCCUAGCAGGGCCGAGCUUUAUUGCCACUCUCCAGAGGCCUGAAGACCAAAUUAGAGGAAGAUCUCAACCGUCCCGUUAUUCCUCUAAAGAAACGCUAGAGAACAAAGGUAAUAACCAUCAGAAACACACUUGUUGGUAUGGUUUGGCUUUGUGUCCCCACCUAAAUCUCAUCUCGGAUUGUAAUCCCCACGUGUCAGGGAAUGAACCUGGUGGAGGGAGACGACUGGAUCAUGGGGGCGGUUUUCUCCAUGCUGCUCUUGUGACAGCGAGGGAGUUCUCACGAGGUCUGAUGGUUUACAAGUGCAAGUUUCCCCUUCUCUGCCUCUUUCUCUCUCCUGCUGCUGCCUUGUAAGAAGUGCCCUGCUUCCCCUUUCCCCUUCACCUCCUGCCGUGAGUGUGAGUUUCCUGAGGCAUUUCCAGCCACGCGGAACUGUGAGUCAAUGAAACCUCUUUCCAUUAUAAAUUACUCAGUCUCAGGUAUUUAUAGCUGUGUGUUAGUAACUGCAAGCAUUGGAACCCCUGUGUAUUUGCUGUGACCCACUGAUUCUCAAACUGUGCUACAAUAAUAGCACUGCUGGGAAUUACCCAGAAUCCCCUUCAGAAGGUAUAAUGCACUCAGCUUGGGAUGAUGCCUGGGUAUAUUUAUUUAAAAAUUUUCAGUUGGUUACAUGCAGUUGGAGUUGCAAACCAUUUAUCCAGAAAUAAAAGAAUAUCUAUUGACUAAGAGAGUGCUCUGGAAAUGUGAUCUCGGGAAUAACAGCAUCAGCAUCACCUGGGAAGUUAUUAGAAAUGCAAAUUACUGGGUCCCACCCCAGAUCUAUUGAAUUAGAAACUCUGGGCGUGGAGCCCAGCAAUCUGGAUUUAACAAGCCUGCUAGGUGAUUGUAAUGCCCAGAUUUGAGAACUUUUAAACUAUCACUAGGGAGAGUUCCUGAAUUCUUCCACUUUUUGUGAUGGAAUAAAAAUACCCUUUGGGGUCAGGAGUUUCAGGUUCAAGCCUGAAAUCUUCCUCACAAUUAAAAGUGUGAUCGAGGACAAAUUAUUUUGCUAAUCUUCAAUUACAUCUUCAAUUACUUGUAUAUUAGAAAGUCAGAUAAUCCCAGUUUUAAUGAAGUUGUUGCAAAGGUAAAAAAGAUGUCAGUUCCUCUCUUUUCCUCAUUAAGAGGAUUAUGAAAUCUGUGCUUUGACAGGAAUGAUAAGCAUAUCUAUGUGUUCACCCUGAAUCCCAGCUAAGAAUACUAAAUAAUCUGUCAAUAUAAUAUUUUUUAUCAGUGGCUUACAUGUUUGUCCCAAAGUGUGGGACAAAUAUCACUUGUGAUCUAUGUGGCACUGGUGCUCAAUAACAUUAAAUCACAUGAUAGAAUGUUAUUCUCCUUUCAAAAAUUUCCAAAAAUUGUUAAAAUACAUUUAAAAAAACAUGUUGGUUUAAAAUGCCUGAAACACUUCUCUAAACUUCUAAUAUCCCCUUUAAAAUAAAGCUUUUGACAAGCAAAUAUAUUUUUCUAGACCUUAAUACAUUUGUUUACCUUCUUUUGAAGACAAGUAACACUAGGUUUUCAUAUGUGAUAAUAAAAAUGUUUUUAAAGCAACUUUAAGUUUAAAAAUAAGUUUACUGAAAUAACUACUUAAAACACACUGUGAAGUUGUGACCAGUGUUAAAGUCACUAUUUUCCAUACUUCAAGGUGUACAGCAGAAAUCCCAGCCUUAAAUAAUUCCUAAUGAGGGAGAGAGGAGGACUGGUAUAUGGAAACUCUGAAAACAGAGAUCAGAGUCAACAUUCUUAUGGCGUAAGUGUGAAUAAUUUAUACGAUGCCGAGAUACAAGGGUUAAGGUAUGAACAAUUUAGCAGAGGUUCUUGUGAAACAGAUCUUGAAGGUUUAGAUGACAUUGCACAAGAAUGUUUAAUAACUCUUUAAAACCAGUUUUUAUACCUUAAACACAUUGAUUAGAACUCUAGUAUGCAGAACAAGGAGGACAUGAUAGUGCCAGCUUGUCCCCGCUCAGGGCAUUUUGUAAAACUGAAAAUCUCAGUUUGAGUUGAAUAUUAAAAAAAUAAAGCCCAUUCAGAUGGAGGAAGGGGUUCCUAUGAUGAAGGUUUUGAAGUGUAGAUUACAAGAGCUAAGGCUGAAGGGUUUAAGAAUAUUUAUUCAGACAAAGCGAUACCCAAGUACUAAAUAUCAUCUUUGUACUUCUGAGCAUGUAUCAUGGGAUAAAGGAACCAGAGAGACCAAAGAGUUGCUAAUAGACACCGCUAUCCAGCACUAGAAUCAGCCAUGUUGAACAGGGCAAGCUCCAUGACCAGAAAUGGUCUACCAGGGAAAGCAGCAGGUAUCGAGUGUGUAGGCACCAAGGUGGAUGAUGGUUGGGAUGUUCAGGAGCUGGACAGAAGUUUGUAUUACAGGCUCGUAGCACCGGAGGUUUCUGAUGGAGCAGACAACUUGAGGACGGCCGGCCUUGCUGAACACACUGGACAGAUCGGGUCUGGACCCCUCCCCCACAGGUGACGGUGCACUGCAGGAAAGAGAAGAGGAAGAAGACAAACACUCUGCUGAGAUCCUCCUGAAGAGAUACGUACACAGUAUAUAUACCUCUGCCCGGCCCCUGUGAUGAAUGGUGAGGUGGGCAGCACCCGAGUCCUCUGAAGAGCUGUGUGACAACAUCUGUUGGUUGGAAUGCUGGAAGGACCACAACACAGCUUUGGGUUCCUGAAGACAUAAUGCCCUCUCAGACUUAGCAUCACACACCAGUCCUAGCCAAAGAUUCACCCAAGACUUCUGAAAGGAAGGGUGCCUCUAGCAUCUGACAUGGGACACACCAGGGUCUGUUAAUCAUGCAAAGGCAUUGCUAAGUCUGGGCAGGGAGACAAUUCCACAGCUGGCUUCCCCGAAUCCUCCUCUUGGCUGGAUUUAGUCUCGGAAACUGGAAAGCAAAUCAAACUUCUCUUCUUCCCAAGGAACUGUUCUCUCCCUGAUAUACCAGAAAGCUAUUGGAAAUGUUCUCAAGGAGCACUGGGUAUAUGAAAAACUUCAUAAUGUAUGACGAAGUGAAACAGAGCAGAGUGUACAGAGAUGUCUAUAACAUGACUUCAGCAAAGAGGAAUAGAAAACGAUACUCAUGUCAUCACUCUGAGUCUGUCAAACACGUUUGCUUACAUAUGCAUAGGGAAAAAAACAAAAUGAUACAGAUCAAAAUAUUAACAUUGUCUAUUGCAGAUUUAAAAAUUGGGGGGUUUUCUUCUUUAUAGUUCAUUGCCUUUAAAAUGUGUAUUAGUAGAAAAUGUGUUCCCUUUUAAUUAUUUUAUAUAUGUAUACUUAAAAAGUAUUUUUUUCAUCUUUUGUGAAGUGCAUGGGCAUCUAUAGAUAAGGCCUUUCGGAUGUAAGAAUUUCUUCAUUUUCUGUAUCUUUGCUCUGUCUCUCAUUCUAAGAAGACUUAUUACGCUCAGUGGAACGGAAGCAGUAGAAAGGCUCACUGUCACCAGGUGCUCUGAAUAACAGGAAACUAGAGACGCACAUUCAUGCUUUGGUUUCAGGAACUACUUUAUGGGCACGUAUUCUUCCUCCCAAAUGGACAAGUGUGACAAUUGUUUAACCCCCAAAUAUGUGACAUUGUUGACAUCUAAAUAAAAUGCCUUCCUUCUGCUCUCUGA